GAAUCUUGCACAAUGGGCGAAAGCCUGAUGCAGCAACGCCGCGUGCGGGAAGAAGGCCCUAGGGUUGUAAACCGCUUUUAGCAGGGAAGAAACUGACGGUACCUGCAGAAAAAGGUGCGGCCAACUACGAGCCAGCAGCCGCGGUGACACGUAGGCACCAAGCGUUGUCCGGAUUUAUUGGGCGUAAAGAGCUCGUAGGCGGUUCGGUAAGUCGGGUGUGAAAACUCUGGGCUCAACCCAGAGCCGCCACCCGAUACUGCUGUGACUAGAGUUCGGUAGGGGAGCGGGGAAUUCCUGGUGUAGCGGUGAAAUGCGCAGAUAUCAGGAGGAACACCGGUGGCGAAGGCGCCGCUCUGGGCCGAGACUGACGCUGAGGAGCGAAAGCGUGGGGAGCAAAC
This 398-nucleotide ribosomal RNA is filed under the name uncultured bacterium. RNAcentral describes it as "bacterial SSU rRNA". It matches the Rfam family "Bacterial small subunit ribosomal RNA", at positions 359 to 773 of the family's 1533-position model. The record is from RNAcentral.